AGGGUCCAUUAUCCCGAGAUCAUGCGGUGCGUCCAAGUCCUUCUUGAACGGGGCCACAGCCCAUAGAGGGUGCCAGGCCCGUAGCGACCGCCGCUGAUCGCGGGAGGAUCUCUCCUCAGAGUCGGGUUGCUUGAGAGUGCAGCCCUAAGUGGGUGGUAAACUCCAUCUAAGGCUAAAUAUGACCACGAGACCGAUAGCGAACAAGUACCGUGAGGGAUAGUUGAAAAGCACUUUGAAGAGAGAGUUCAAGAGUACGUGAAACCGUUUAGGGGUAAACCUGAGAAGCCCGAAAGGUCGAAGGGAGAAAUUCAUUCGCGUUUCGUCGCUGGCGUUAGGCGGUCGUGUGACGGGGAGCGUUUCGGCGUUUUCCGCACCUUCAGUCUCUCGAACCGGCGGCGUACGCGUGCACUUUUCUCCUGGUAGGACGUCGCGAUCCGUUGAGCGUCGGUCUACGGCUCGCGGUGGAGCCCGUUCGUCGAUUCGUCGUACGAACGGACCCGCGUGUCCCGGCUGACUCGCUCGACGGUAUACGAAAGGUUUAAGGCCGCUCUUGGAGCGUUCGGCUCGCGGCAAGCGCGCCAGAUGCGUUGGCGAUCGGACCUAGUGCCGAUUCUGACCUCUGGUGACUGUUGUCCGUGAAGUUCUCGAACAGACCUUAAGACCGAUCUGCGACGCUAUAG
Molecule: ribosomal RNA, 680 nt
Filed under: Tysius sp. NZAC 03037802
Lineage: Eukaryota; Metazoa; Arthropoda; Insecta; Coleoptera; Curculionidae
Description: partial large subunit ribosomal RNA
Rfam family: Eukaryotic large subunit ribosomal RNA
Source: RNAcentral